RNAcentral lists this ribosomal RNA (449 nucleotides) under uncultured bacterium. RNAcentral's name for it is "partial 16S ribosomal RNA". It matches the Rfam family "Bacterial small subunit ribosomal RNA", at positions 29 to 523 of the family's 1533-position model. The record is from RNAcentral.
AACGAACGCUGGCGGCAUGCCUAACACAUGCAAGUCGAACGAAGCCUUCGGGCUUAGUGGCGCACGGGUGCGUAACGCGUGGGAAUCUGCCCUUGGGUUCGGAAUAACAGUUAGAAAUGACUGCUAAUACCGGAUGAUGUCUUCGGACCAAAGAUUUAUCGCCCAAGGAUGAGCCCGCGUAGGAUUAGGUAGUUGGUGGGGUAAUGGCCCACCAAGCCGACGAUCCUUAGCUGGUCUGAGAGGAUGAUCAGCCACACUGGGACUGAGACACGGCCCAGACUCCUACGGGAGUCAGCAGUGGGGAAUAUUGGACAAUGGGCGAAAGCCUGAUCCAGCAAUGCCGCGUGAGUGAUGAAGGCCUUAGGGUUGUAAAGCUCUUUUACCAGGGAUGAUAAUGACAGUACCUGGAGAAUAAGCUCCGGCUAACGCCGUGCCAGCCGCCGCAGUAA